This 383-nucleotide ribosomal RNA is filed under the name Escherichia coli. Its description in RNAcentral is "partial 23S ribosomal RNA". It matches the Rfam family "Bacterial large subunit ribosomal RNA", at positions 1 to 430 of the family's 2925-position model. Lineage: Bacteria; Pseudomonadati; Pseudomonadota; Gammaproteobacteria; Enterobacterales; Enterobacteriaceae. The record is from RNAcentral.
GGUUAAGUGACUAAGCGUACAUGGUGGAUGCCUUGGCAGUCAGAGGCGAUGAAGGACGUACUAACCUGCGAUAAGCCGUGAGCAGUCGGUAAGAGACAUUACGACUCACGGAUUUCCGAAUGGGGAAACCCACUUAGCAUAAGCUAGGUAUCGCUGCGUGAAUACAUAGCGUAGCGAGGCGAACCGGGAGAACUGAAACAUCUAAGUACCCCGAGGAAAAGAAAUCAACCGAGAUUCCCUCAGUAGCGGCGAGCGAACGGGGAUUAGCCCUUAAGCAUCUUGGAAGUUAGUGGAACGGUCCUGGAAAGGCCGGCGAUACAGGGUGAUAGCCCCGUACACGAAAACAACCUUGAUGUGAAAUCGAGUAGGGCGGGACACGUGAC